CAGUAGCCGCGGGAAUACGAAGGGUGCAAGCGUUACUCGGAAUUACUGGGCGUAAAGCGUGCGUAGGUGGUGGUUUAAGUCCGUUGUGAAAGCCCUGGGCUCAACCUGGGAAUUGCAGUGGAUACUGGGUCACUAGAGCGUGGUAGAGGAUAGUGGAAUUUCCGGUGUAGCAGUGAAAUGCGUAGAGAUCGGAAGGAACAUCUGUGGCGAAGGCGACUAUCUGGGCCAACACUGACACUGAGGCACGAAAGCGUGGGGAGCAAACAGGAUUAGAUACCCCGGUAGUCCCUGUCUCUUAUAC
This 301-nucleotide ribosomal RNA is filed under the name uncultured bacterium. RNAcentral's name for it is "partial 16S ribosomal RNA". It matches the Rfam family "Bacterial small subunit ribosomal RNA", at positions 509 to 807 of the family's 1533-position model. The record is from RNAcentral.